AGUGAACGCUGGCGGUUGGCCUAACACAUGCAAGUCGAACGGCAGCACAGUAAGAGCUUGCUCUUACGGGUGGCGAGUGGCGGACGGGUGAGGAAUACAUCGGAAUCUACUUUUUCGUGGGGGAUAACGUAGGGAAACUUACGCUAAUACCGCAUACGACCUACGGGUGAAAGCAGGGGAUCUUCGGACCUUGCGCGAUUAAAUGAGCCGAUGUCGGAUUAGCUAGUUGGCGGGGUAAAGGCCCACCAAGGCGACGAUCCGUAGCUGGUCUGAGAGGAUGAUCAGCCACACUGGAACUGAGACACGGUCCAGACUCCUACGGGAGGCAGCAGUGGGGAAUAUUGGACAAUGGGCGCAAGCCUGAUCCAGCCAUACCGCGUGGGUGAAGAAGGCCUUCGGGUUGUAAAGCCCUUUUGUUGGGAAAGAAAAGCAGCAGGUUAAUACCCCGCUGUUCUGACGGUACCCAAAGAAUAAGCACCGGCUAACUUCGUG
RNAcentral lists this ribosomal RNA (492 nucleotides) under uncultured bacterium. RNAcentral describes it as "partial 16S ribosomal RNA". It matches the Rfam family "Bacterial small subunit ribosomal RNA", at positions 29 to 507 of the family's 1533-position model. The record is from RNAcentral.